GUAGGGAAUCUUCCGCAAUGGGCGAAAGCCUGACGGAGCAACGCCGCGUGAGUGAUGAAGGGUUUCGGCUCGUAAAACUCUGUUAUUAGGGAAGAACAUAUGUGUAAGUAACUGUGCACAUCUUGACGGUACCUAAUCAGAAAGCCACGGCUAACUACGUGCCAGCAGCCGCGGUAAUACGUAGGUGGCAAGCGUUAUCCGGAAUUAUUGGGCGUAAAGCGCGCGUAGGCGGUUUCUUAAGUCUGAUGUGAAAGCCCACGGCUCAACCGUGGAGGGUCAUUGGAAACUGGGAAACUUGAGUGCAGAAGAGGAAAGUGGAAUUCCAUGUGUAGCGGUGAAAUGCGCAGAGAUAUGGAGGAACACCAGUGGCGAAGGCGACUUUCUGGUCUGUAACUGACGCUGAUGUGCGAAAGCGUGGGGAUCAAACAGGAUUAGAAACCCCAGUAGUCC
This 450-nucleotide ribosomal RNA is filed under the name uncultured bacterium. RNAcentral describes it as "bacterial SSU rRNA". It matches the Rfam family "Bacterial small subunit ribosomal RNA", at positions 354 to 796 of the family's 1533-position model. The record is from RNAcentral.